AAGAACUUUGAAAAGAGAGUUAAAUAGUACCUGAAAUGGUUUGCAAGGAAGCUAUGUAUGCUAGUGGUACCCGCAUUUCAUCCUGUUCUGUCUCGGCAGUUCACUGUGUAUGUGUGGUAGUUCAGCAUGGGCUCGUUGCGCGGGAAACUUGGUUACCGCGCAGUGGGCCGAGGCUUGAAUCGCAGUAUGGAGGGCCAAUGGCACUGUCUGUUUUGAAGGCUGGCGAGCAUGCUCGGCACCAGAUGGCAGACUUUUUCCAGAAACUCUUGCAGUGCGGUCGAGAUGCUGAGGAAAUGGCAUUCAUUAUCCCGUCUUGAAACACGGACCAAGG
Molecule: ribosomal RNA, 331 nt
Filed under: Stephanopyxis turris
Lineage: Eukaryota; Bacillariophyta; Melosirophyceae; Stephanopyxales; Stephanopyxidaceae
Description: partial Eukaryotic large subunit ribosomal RNA
Rfam family: Eukaryotic large subunit ribosomal RNA
Source: RNAcentral